Molecule: long non-coding RNA, 1739 nt
Organism: Apis cerana (Asiatic honeybee)
Lineage: Eukaryota; Metazoa; Arthropoda; Insecta; Hymenoptera; Apidae
Source: RefSeq, a predicted model, not a curated record
AUUCCUCUCCAAUUCUUUCUUUUUUAAUAUUGGACAGUUCGUUUAAACUCAACGAAACUGAAGAGAAUUGAGGAGUUCCCUUCAAGGUGUAGACGGUAACUUUAGGAGAUACUCUUGUAUCUUGACUGACGUCGAUGAAACCAGAUUAGUUCUAGUCAAGGCGCAAAAAUACUUGAUAUCGCUUUUACACGAAGAGAAAAAACUUUGCAGACAACAAAGAGGGUUGAAUUAAGGAUUUAAUCAAGUACUUUUUUUUUCAAUUUUCUAUUACACGAUAUUAUACAAUAUUUAUGAAAAAGAUAAUGACAAUAAAGAGAAAAUAGUGUAGAUGCUUUAUACAAAUCUUUUGAAUGAUUAGAAAGAUAAUUUUUGGAAAGGAUAUAAAUUGAAAGCAAUUUGAGUAAUAGAAUAGAAGUGAUAUUGUCGUUUAACAGGUUGGCUUGUAAAUACCGUUGUUCUAUCUCCAAUGCAUCAAGUACUGAAUUUGUAAAUAGGUAUCCACGUACCAUUAUUCUCUAUUCCCGGUAUAUAUUGCACGUAUGCAUUCCAGAUUCUCCAUUUUUCAAUUCUCUCUAUCCCACACAAAAAUCGAUCAAUCAUCCCCAAGAGUGGUGGAAACUACACUACAUCUAGGAUACAUUCACACCGAUUCACCUAAAAAUUCCGGGAGAGUCGGACGUAAAUCUCCAGGGAGGGCGCCAUUAAAAAUUUAGAUCCAACCCUGAAGGACACAAUUCUCGCCAUCGUUUCCCGCAGCCACUACUGGAAAACUGGAACUGAUUCUGUUGAUUUAUGCGGCUAAUAUAGCCAUUAGAAGAGAUUUAUCACGUCGAAAGAGGCGCAUGGCGAACGUAUUAAUAUUUACGUUUCUACCAGCUUGAUAUCUAACACGGUCGUACACUCACACUGAGCCCAUAUAUAUAUAUAUAUGUAUGUGUGUGUAUGAUACAUACUGCUUUCAAUGACAUACGAUGUGAAUUAUUAUUGUAAAAUGAUUUUUAUUGCUAAAUUUUAUUAUGGUUGUGCAAACUAUUCUCAAAAUUUUAUUGUUAUUUGAAAAUUUGUUGGAUGUGCAUGAAAUUAUUCAAUUUGACAAUAAUACUUUUGUAAUUUAUUUAUAUAGAAUAUCAAUAUUUUUUUUUGGAGGAUACAUAUGAAAGAUUGAUUCUAGAAGCCAAAACAAAUACAAAAACAAAUAUAAAAUAAUUCAUAUAUCAUUAUGAUAUUUAACUGAAACAGAUCUCUGUUUAAAUUCCACAUUUUCAAUUACUUUGAAUUUGAAAGAAAGAUAAUAAUAUAAAAUAUUUUUUUUUGUCACAUUGAAAAAACUAUUGAUAUUCCACACCACAAUGGAAAUUUGAUUUAGAAAGAUGUAGGUAAUAAAAUAUUUUUAACACGAUAUUAUUAAAUAUUUUUAAUAGAAAAGAACAGAUUUAACAUUCUGUAUUAAUGAGAACUUCUUCAUUUUGGAAUUAGCAUAUUUAAUAAUUACAAAUAAAAAUUGAACAUUUGAAAUUAUUAAAACUAGUAAAUUAUUUAUUCACCAAUAAUUCCUUUUUUCGAUAAUUCCAUUACAAUUAAAAGAAUAUUCACAUACCUAUAAAGUGUACUAAUACAAAAACACAUCCUGUGACAGAGCAAAUAUAGCUGGGGUCAAGUGGUGAAAACGAAGGGCGGGAAUAGACGUGGAAAAGUAAGGAAAAUAAACGAAUGGGGGAAGAAAAAGGAGGACACAAAGA